AAAGGCAGAAAGUAGGAAGGGGUGAGUUAAGGUGAAUUGGGUUUAGGGUUGGGUAAGUACUAAUCCGAUCUCUCUCACAGUCUCACUUCAUGUCGACCCUUCGCUCCCUAAGCCCUAAUCCUUCCCGCUCCUCCUCCUCCUCCUCCUACAGUCCCAAUCCUAACCCCGCCGCCCACCCUUCCCUCCUCGCCUUCUUCGGCGGGACCGCCUUCAACGGCGUCAUCAAGGACCUCAAGACUUUCACCACUCGCUUCCCCCACGUGCUUCCCUUUUCCGACGACGGAGGUAGCACCGCCGAAAUCGUCAACGUCCUUGGUGGUCCGGUCGUCGGAGACUCAUGACCUCCAAGAAGCAGAAGAAGCUCACCCGCACCGCCGACGAAGCCCUCGAGUCAAAGCUCGGUUUCGAUCUAUUCUCCUAGGCUCGGCUUUCCCAACGGUGAGCCGCCGUAUUAUGUCGGGUUGAUGAAGGUGGAGGAGGAUCCGUACAAUGAGUUGGGUAACCCGGAUGGGGUUAUUCAGCUGGGUUUGGAUGAAAACACGUUAGCUUUGGACUUGGUUCGAGAGUGGCUAAUGUAGAAUGCAAAGGAUGCAAUACUGGGCGGUGAGGAGCUUGGGAUUAGUGGGAUUGCUUGUUACCAGCCUUCUGAUGGUUUAAUGGAGCUGAAACUGAUAUGCAGGCUGUGGCAGGAUUCAUGUCUAAAGCCGUUGGAAAUUCAGUUACCUACAACCGCUCACAAAUUGUAUUGACAGCUGGUGCAACCCCUGCAAUUGAGAUUCUAAGCUUCUGCCUAGCAGACAGUGGAAACACAUUUAUUGUUCCGGCACCAUAUUACCCUGGUUUGGAUAGAGAUGUGAAGUGGCGAACUUGAUGCGGGACAAGUAGCAAAAGAACUGCAGAACUAGGGUUUAUUUGCAGCAGUCUCGAUUGUUAGAAAGAAAAGGAAUUUAGAAUAAGAAACUUAAGAAGAAAAGGGAUAGAAUUACUAGCCAGACUGUGUGGGCCUAGCAACAUAGGAUGGUACUGGCAGAUGAUUUGGAUUCUGGACAAGGCAGUAAAUAGAAUCACAUAUUCCAAAUCCAACCUUGUCUGUUAAUGGAUUCGGAGGCCUAUAAGCCAUAAGUUGAAUUUGUCUGAUUUCGAUCUGCAUGUCCAGCCGCUUUGUUAAUAAUAGCAUAGUAUGCUACUGUUGAUUUUUA
Molecule: long non-coding RNA, 1199 nt
Organism: Rosa chinensis
Lineage: Eukaryota; Viridiplantae; Streptophyta; Magnoliopsida; Rosales; Rosaceae
Exons: 6
Source: RefSeq, a predicted model, not a curated record